UGGAUUAAAGGCAAUUGUGAAGAUACGUGGU
This 31-nucleotide non-coding RNA is filed under the name Rattus norvegicus (Norway rat). Lineage: Eukaryota; Metazoa; Chordata; Mammalia; Rodentia; Muridae. The record is from RNAcentral.